This 256-nucleotide ribosomal RNA is filed under the name uncultured bacterium. RNAcentral describes it as "partial 16S ribosomal RNA". It matches the Rfam family "Bacterial small subunit ribosomal RNA", at positions 524 to 776 of the family's 1533-position model. The record is from RNAcentral.
UACGAAGGGGGCUAGCGUUGCUCGGAAUCACUGGGGCGUAAAGGGUGCGUAGGCGGGUCUUUUAAGUCAGAGGUGAAAUCCUGGAGCUCAACUCCAGAACUGCCUUUGAUACUGAGGAUCUUGAGUUCGGGAGAGGUGAGUGGAACUGCGAGUGUAGAGGUGAAAUUCGUAGAUAUUCGCAAGAACACCAGUGGCGAAGGCGGCUCACUGGCCCAUAACUGACGCUGAGGCACGAAAGCGUGGGGGAGCAAACAGG